Non-coding RNA from Caenorhabditis elegans, 21 nucleotides. NCBI's taxonomy places the organism in Eukaryota, Metazoa, Nematoda, Chromadorea, Rhabditida, Rhabditidae. The record is from Ensembl.
UUGUAGUGAGUACUAUUGAAG